This is a long non-coding RNA of Cinclus cinclus, 2718 nucleotides long. RefSeq lists it as uncharacterized. The transcript is spliced from 3 exons. Lineage: Eukaryota; Metazoa; Chordata; Aves; Passeriformes; Cinclidae. The record is from RefSeq and is a predicted model, not a curated record.
CCGGCCCCGGCGGAGGGAAGCGCAGGCGGCGGCGGCUCGCGGCCGCAUCCCCCUCCGGUGUGACCCCCGCAGCCUCUUCUGGAGCCGGCAGGGCCCGACCUUCCCAGCGGAGGACCUGAGAUUAAUAUCCAUUUCAGCUCCCCGCUCCACCCGCCUUGGCUCUUGCGUGCUGUGCCUGGCUCUGCGGGAAGAGGCGUCACCCUCCCAUAAGUCAUGCUCUGCCUCUAUGCCAGUUGAUUUAUGGAGCUGUGCUGGGUGUUUGCAGAGGAAGAGAGGCCUCUGAAGGAUAGUCCUGGAGGACGGGAAGCUUUCAGUCAGCACCUUAAGGCUGUGGUGCUACUAAAGAUGCUGGGACAAAAUACUGCUGUGAAAGUGAUGUUCAGGGCAACAAAGGUGGUGAAGGGUCUGGAGCACACAAGUUCUAGUUCUAGUUCUUGUGUUCUAGUUUUAGCACAAGGAGCAGCCGAGGGAGCUCGGGAUGUUUAGCCUGGAGAAAAGGAGGCUCAGGGGAGACCUUAUUGCUCUCUACAACUGCCUGAAAUGAAGUCGUGGUCAGGUGGGGAUUGGUCUCUUCUUUCAGUCAGUGACAAGAGGACUAGCCCUGAGCUGUGCUGGGGACGUUUGGGUUGGACAUAGAAUUUUCUUCACAGAAAGGGUUUUUAGACAUUGAAAUGCAUUGCCCAGGGAGGUGGUGGGGUCACCAUCCCUGAAGGUGUUGAAGAAAAGACUGGACAUGGCACUUGGUUGGUUGGAUUUGAUGAUUUCAGAGGUCUUUUCCAACCGUGUGAUUCCAUCUCCUUAUGCUGCUGAAACUCAAAUUACGAUAUAAGUAUCUUCUUCUGUUUAAUCUGGUGAAAGGUGCAGUAUACUUUUGUCCCCUCAGAGUGCCACACUGCAAAGAGAUCUCAGGCAUUCCAGUUUUCAAAUAUAUAUUUUUUUAAUUUUUAAAUUCAGUUUGUAACAGGUGGAUAAUGCACCAAGUUAAAAAAUCUCUUUGGUGGUAAAAAGUAACUUGUGCUACCUCUUCCUUUAAAUAAAUGCUGAAGAGCUACAAAUCAUCUUAAUCACUACAGUUACAUUUUGUGUCCUUCAAAGUGCUUACCGUGGUCCCAUUGAAUUUAUCAUUCAAUGCAAAGAGGACAAUGACACACAGCAGAACUCUUACGUGGUAUCAGAGCUGAAAACAGUUGUAAAAAAUUCUUGUGGAGAGUGAGUCCGGUGGAAUUUGCUCAUUUCAGUUAACUCUUAGAGCCAAAAUCAUCUUCUUCACCGGGCAGCUGUGUGUAAGACAUGGAUGCUCCCGAGAGCAGUCAAAACCCAGCCUCACCUUCCUGAAGCAGGGCGAGUACUGACAGGCUGCCUGUAGGUGUCAGACUCGGACUGCACAGCUGCACAAAUGCAAGUCAGGAGCAGGUGGGGCUUCUGAUUUGUUUCUUAAAUCAAAGCAACAUCACAUGUUGCCUGUUUUGCUUAAAAGUAAACAUUACAUCUACAAUUUGUUCUGUUCCAAUCAAAAGAGGGAGAACUGCAGACAAUACUGAUGACAUGGUCAUUUCCCAUACCUGUUUUAAUGCAAGUAUUUCUGAGAAAGAAAAAGGUAAGUUUUAGAGGAUUAAAUUGUGCAGCCAUCUCAAGACCAGCAGCCUUCUGCCUCCUCAUAUGUUCAUCACUUAUUUUCCUUCACCACUGCAGUCACUCCUCUAGAGGGGACACACAUGAAAUGUAAGAGAACCCAAAGGAGCUGUCACACCUUCCCUCAGAAUGAGAACAGAGAAACCACUAUUUCUAAUCUUCAGUCUUGCAAUAUGGUGAUGAUACUAAUUAUAAACAAGUUUAAUAUAGAAGAGUUUGUUACGGAAACCUACUAAAAGAGAAGGGCAAAAGGCUAUUAAUUACCAGAUUUUGACACUGCUCUACUUUGCUGAAGGAGUGGGGCAAAUGGUACUUGACUGCAUGAUUAAAAAGUGACAAUACCUUUUAGAAGCAGCAGGUCUGAAGCCUGUUCUACAUAAAUGUCAGUUAACUAGGGGGAAACAUUUUAACCUACUGGCUUAAGUACAAAAUAAGGGACUACGCUGGGAUAAACAAUUUAUUAGAAGUUUUACAGCUUAAAUUUUGUUAAAUUUCACAUUGAGUGGCUAGCAAAUAGAACUAAACCUGCCCUUAUUAAUACCAAGAUAACACAAAGAUGGCAUUCAUAUUACUAUUGCAUCCAUUGCAGAUUACAGAAAGAUACCAAGUUCAAAACUUCUUCCUUGUGUGUGAGACCAAGAUGGAGGCAUUCAUGUAGAAGGUAGAUUAAAUGUGUAUUUAUCAGUUCCAAGAGGGCUUAGUAGGUACAUUUCUACAUUGCUCAAUUUUCUGCAUAAAUUCCAGAAUUUUCAAAAUUAAAAUUUUGUUUCACGUGGUGGUCUUAAUUAAGCACACAUCCUGAAAAAAGGGAAAGGCAGGCUUGUAUACUUCAAACUGCCCAUACAAAUCAUUCUGGAUGAAAAUUUGGAAUAGUUUUUCAUGUAAGUCUGAACUAUGCAGUGUCCUUCCAGAGCAAAGGCACAAGUCCACCUCUGUCUGUCAAUGAAAUCAGAUUUCACCCAAAUACAGUGUUGUCUUCAGUUCAUGAUAUACAGUGGGCAGAAACCAAUACUGGUAACCUCUAGGAAAGUGAAUACAGUUCCUGAAAAACAACCCAACCAACCAGACAAAAAAGCCAUAAAAUAA